AGCGAACGCUAGCGGCGGGCCUAACACAUGCAAGUCGAACGCGUGCCUUCGGGUACGAGUGGCGGACGGGUGAGUAACACGUAGGUAUCUGCCCUUCGGUGGGGGAUAACCCGGGGAAACUCGGGCUAAUACCGCAUAUGGUCUACGGAUCAAAGCCUUCGGGCGCCGGGGGAUGAGCCUGCGGCCCAUUAUUUAAUCCUAGUUGGCGGGGUAAUGGCCCACCAAGGGUACGAUGGGUAGCUGGUCUGAGAGGAUGAUCAGCCACACUGGAACUGAGACACGGUCCAGACUCCUACGGGAGGCAGCAGUGGGGAAUAUUGCGCAAUGGGCGGAAGCCUGACGCAGCCACGCCGCGUGGGUGAUGAA
Molecule: ribosomal RNA, 366 nt
Filed under: uncultured bacterium
Lineage: Bacteria
Description: bacterial SSU rRNA
Rfam family: Bacterial small subunit ribosomal RNA
Source: RNAcentral